CCUACGGGCGGCAGCAGUGGGGAAUAUUGGACAAUGGGGGGAACCCUGAUCCAGCCAUGCCGCGUGUGUGAAGAAGGCCCUCGGGUUGUAAAGCACUUUCAGUGAGGAAGAACGCCUGGUGGUUAAUACCCAUCAGGAAAGACAUCACUCACAGAAGAAGCACCGGCUAACUCCGUGCCAGCAGCCGCGGUAAUACGGAGGGUGCGAGCGUUAAUCGGAAUUACUGGGCGUAAAGCGCGCGUAGGUGGCUUGAUAAGCCGGUUGUGAAAGCCCCGGGCUCAACCUGGGAACGGCAUCCGGAACUGUCAAGCUAGAGUGCAGGAGAGGAAGGUAGAAUUCCCGGUGUAGCGGUGAAAUGCGUAGAGAUCGGGAGGAAUACCAGUGACGAAGGCGGCCUUCUGGACUGACACUGACACUGAGGUGCGAAAGCGUGGGUAGCAAACAGGAUUAGAUACCCUUGUAGUC
This 465-nucleotide ribosomal RNA is filed under the name Vreelandella stevensii. Its description in RNAcentral is "partial 16S ribosomal RNA". It matches the Rfam family "Bacterial small subunit ribosomal RNA", at positions 338 to 795 of the family's 1533-position model. The record is from RNAcentral. Lineage: Bacteria; Pseudomonadati; Pseudomonadota; Gammaproteobacteria; Oceanospirillales; Halomonadaceae.